Molecule: ribosomal RNA, 460 nt
Filed under: Weissella confusa
Lineage: Bacteria; Bacillati; Bacillota; Bacilli; Lactobacillales; Lactobacillaceae
Description: bacterial SSU rRNA
Rfam family: Bacterial small subunit ribosomal RNA
Source: RNAcentral
CCUACGGGAGGCUGCAGUAAGGAAUAUUGGUCAAUGCCCGCAAGGGUGAACCAGCCAUCCCGCGUGCAGGAAGAAGGGGCUCUGCCUUGUAAACUGCUUUUGCAUGGGACGAAAAAAGGGGAUUUAUCCUCGACUGACGGUACCAUGAGAAUAAGCACCGGCUAACUCCGUGCCAGCAGCCGCGGUAAUACGGAGGGUGCGAGCGUUAUCCGGAAUCACUGGGUUUAAAGGGUGCGUAGGCGGUUAUAUAAGUCAGUGGUGAAAGGCCGUCGCUUAACGAUGGGACUGCCAUUGAUACUGUAUAACUUGAGAGAGGUUGAGGUUGGCGGAAUGUGGCAUGUAGCGGUGAAAUGCUUAGAUAUGCCAUAGAACACCAAUUGCGAAGGCAGCUGACUAGACCUCAUCUGACGCUGAGGCACGAAAGCGUGGGGAGCGAACAGGAUUAGAUACCCUGGUAGUC